Molecule: ribosomal RNA, 686 nt
Filed under: uncultured bacterium
Lineage: Bacteria
Description: bacterial SSU rRNA
Rfam family: Bacterial small subunit ribosomal RNA
Source: RNAcentral
UUAGCGGAAACGAUGGAGCUUGCUCCAGGCGUCGAGCGGCGGACGGGUGAGUAAUGCAUAGGAAUCUGCCCGGUAGUGGGGGAUAACCUGGGGAAACCCAGGCUAAUACCGCAUACGUCCUACGGGAGAAAGCAGGGGCUCUUCGGACCUUGCGCUAUCGGAUGAGCCUAUGUCGGAUUAGCUCGUUGGUGAGGUAAUGGCUCACCAAGGCGACGAUCCGUAGCUGGUCUGAGAGGAUGAUCAGCCACAUCGGGACUGAGACACGGCCCGAACUCCUACGGGAGGCAGCAGUGGGGAAUAUUGGACAAUGGGCGCAAGCCUGAUCCAGCCAUGCCGCGUGUGUGAAGAAGGCUUUCGGGUUGUAAAGCACUUUCAGUGAGGAAGAACGCCUUGGGGCUAAUACCCCCGAGGAAGGACAUCACUCACAGAAGAAGCACCGGCUAACUCCGUGCCAGCAGCCGCGGUAAUACGGAGGGUGCGAGCGUUGAUCGGAAUUACUGGGCGUAAAGCGCGCGUAGGCGGCGUGACAAGCCGGUUGUGAAAGCCCCGGGCUCAACCUGGGAACGGCAUCCGGAACUGUUAGGCUAGAGUGCAGGAGUGGAAGGUAGAAUUCCCGGUGUAGCGGUGAAAUGCGUAAAGAUCGGGAGGAAUACCAGUGGCGAAGGCGGCCUUCUGGACUGACACUU